This 272-nucleotide ribosomal RNA is filed under the name uncultured prokaryote. Its description in RNAcentral is "partial 16S ribosomal RNA". It matches the Rfam family "Bacterial small subunit ribosomal RNA", at positions 505 to 776 of the family's 1533-position model. The record is from RNAcentral.
GUGUCAGCCGCCGCGGUAAUACGGAGGGUGCAAGCGUUAUCCGGAAUUAUUGCGCGUAAAGCGCGCGCAGGUGGUUUCUUAAGUCUGAUGUGAAAGCCCACGGCUCAACCGUGGAGGGUCAUUGGAAACUGGGAGACUUGAGUGCAGAAGAGGAAAGUGGAAUUCCAUGUGUAGCGGUGAAAUGCGUAGAGAUAUGGAGGAACACCAGUGGCGAAGGCGACUUUCUGGUCUGUAACUGACACUGAGGCGCGAAAGCGUGGGGAGCAAACAGG